UUUGCACUACAGGCCAAAGAUAUUCAUCAAAAAUCAUUCAUCUUUGCACUACAGGCCAAAGAUAUUCAAUAAUAUCAUCAUUUAAGACUGAGGAUGAUGAAAAAUAUUUUUAAAAAAACGAAUCCAGUGAAACAAAAUGACAAGGAUUAAGGAUUAAGGAUUCGUACUUUGUUUUAUCCACGUCCAAAAAUACCUCAAAAAUAAU
Molecule: long non-coding RNA, 205 nt
Filed under: Panax ginseng (ginseng)
Lineage: Eukaryota; Viridiplantae; Streptophyta; Magnoliopsida; Apiales; Araliaceae
Description: long non-coding RNA (PGIN_LNC008219)
Source: RNAcentral